RNAcentral lists this non-coding RNA (23 nucleotides) under Chrysemys picta bellii (western painted turtle). The record is from RNAcentral. RNAcentral also lists the same sequence under 8 other names. Lineage: Eukaryota; Metazoa; Chordata; Testudines; Emydidae.
CGCUCAGUAGUCAGUGUAGAUUC